This is a long non-coding RNA of Syngnathus typhle (broad-nosed pipefish), 2381 nucleotides long. RefSeq lists it as uncharacterized. The transcript is spliced from 2 exons. NCBI's taxonomy places the organism in Eukaryota, Metazoa, Chordata, Actinopteri, Syngnathiformes, Syngnathidae. The record is from RefSeq and is a predicted model, not a curated record.
UCUUACGCUCAGCAGCUCUGCUCAUGAAUGGAAGACGGGAAGAGGAGCAGGAGGAAGAAGCGGUGGGAGAUGAUGUGCAAAAUCACCUGGGAAAUGAAGAAGAAAAAAAAGUGGGACCUUUAAAAAAGAAGAAGCAGCAGCCGAGGAUAUUCAUGAGCCCACUGUGUCUGCAAAGGAUCAGCUGAAUUGUAAAGACACGAAGAACACCACUAAGACAUUAGCUGGCAGCUCUUAUUCCAGCUACAAAGAAGGCCUUGUCACACUAGCAUUAGCAUUAGCAUCAAGCCUCUGCCACUCUUGCCAAGCUUGGGCAGUCCUUUCAUGAUAGCAAAGCACCAAGCUCACAAUGGUUGAGUCUCUGUUAUCUUGAUUGUCUGGACACAAGACAAAGAAGGAUGUCACAUGUGGGGGAAAACCUCCUGCUUGCUGAAAAUGGGACUCAUGAGGUAACAGCCACCUUUAAAAAAAUAAAUAAAAAUAAAGCGAGAAAGUUGGAGGAGCAUGCAGGCAGCAGAAAGAAACCGUCUAUUGCACAAAUGAAGGAAGUACACGCCCAAAUACAAGCGUAUUUCCAUCUAGUUUGCAUGGCGUCGGCGACAAGUUUAAAAGUUUCUAAGUAAACAAAAAGCUAAACAGCUAAACAGUAAUAACAGUUAUCUUGCUAAGAAGUGCUCGCUGAGCCUGGGAACUCCUUGCACUUUUUUUUUGUUUUAACUUACAAAGCUAAGUGAAACACUAUAUUUGAGUUACAGAAAUUUUGAAAAAGUAUUUACUGUGGCAACUCCACGAAACUAAUUUCUAUUGGCUAAGAUAAAGAGGAAAAAAAACUUCAAAUCCGAAAAGAUGUUGAUAGACAUUCCUAAAGGCACAUUUUUAAAAAUGUGUUGCUGAUGUAUUAUUCUAUUUUACUGCAACCAAAUAUUGCCUCAAAUAGUACUCGGAUAACAAAAAUCAAUAUCGGCCCUGAAAAAAAACAUUCUAUUGCUACGUUUAAUCUGAUCUGAAUCCUGAAUCUUCGAAUUGUGAGGCAGUCCGCUGAGCGAUCGUGCAAGCAAUAGUUCAACAUUAGACAAAAAAUAAAUAAAUGAAAACCACCAAAUUAUUUCCUUUUUAAUCGCAAUCUUGCACCCGAACCCAUGGAGUUAAAUUUACAUAAUAUAUUGCUCUUGUUUACUAAAUAACACAUUGGGACACCCCAAAUCAACAUUAUCUCCUCCUCCUAGCACACCCAGCCCAUUGUCAUCCAUCAGUGAUGACAAAACAAAACAGUAAAGCCAUGUGGAUUCCAGCAUUGGAUUUGAUAGACGUCACGCCUUGUUAGCACACUUUAUACUGCUAGCCUACACAUUAAUUGGCUUUCAGGCCCCCCCAUUUAAUCCGGACACAGGCAAAGCUGCACACAAACACUGACAGAAAUAUAUUCUAAACUCACACCCAGUUCACAUUACGCAUUGUUAUGAUUCAUUUUGAUGAAUUGAUCCAACUCUGAACUUGUAGUUAGCGUCAACAUGAACUGCAACUGGGGUUAGUUAGCGUCACAGCUCCAUAAGAGCUUGUCCGUUUCAACAGCGGCCAACCUUAGUUGACUGCAGGGAAAAAAAAACAAGUUACUCCGACAUAGUUUAUUUUGAGUGUUGGAUAUUGUCGCGCAUGCAUUUAAGGAGGAGGAAAAGCCUGUAUGCAGGCCACCACUCCUGUCAAGCUAGCUUGCUACACUACACAGACACACAGUUUUGUUUCCGCAAAGGGAAAAGCAUGGUGAAUUGAAACAGGUUAAAGUUCUCUUACCUUUAAAUCACCGCGGUUAUAUGUUGUCAAAUGACGUUUGGCGAAACAUUGAAUACGCCAUUUUCGUCACAAGCCAACACAGCAUCCGAACGAGCUGUAAACACAAGCUCCGAGCAACCCGCUGUCACAGGCAGUGCGCAUGCGCGUGUUACGGCACACUAUGCCCUUCUGCAUGGUGAUGCGAGCUCUCCAACGCGCAUGCGCCUCACGCACACAACAUGAGGUUUUCGUGACCUACGAGAUUUAGACCAAAAUAUUGUGAUUUUAGAUUCUGAACAAGGAUAAAACAACAAAGAUGAAAUUUCCUGUUUCUUUAUUGUUGCAUGCAGCCAGUCUCAUCUCAGAAGCAUUUUGUUGCUUUACAUCACUGUGAUAUGCAAGAAGAGACCAAAUAAAUAACUCACGCACACACAAAAGUCCAUAAAAAUGACCCAGUUAAAAGUUUUCAUCAACACAAACUUUAGCGUAGCCAAGCAUUAGCAUAUGCUAAAAGGGGGGAACCUUUUGCAAAGUGACAUUUCCAAGGAAAUAAAUGGAAUACAUAACUGUAUUAUUUCAUUGAGGGGGGGGGGGGACAUGUUACAUUUUGCUGU